UCUUCAUUUUCCUUAAACAAUUUUUAAACUAUCAGAAAUAUGCCAGUGAAUGUGAUUAUUUGACUUAGGUCCAUUCACUCCAUCCACUCCUUCAUUCAAACUCUUCUUGUGUACCUGCUCAGGGCCAGGCAUGUGCUUGCCACCCAGGAUACCAAGAGGAGAACCACAUAGUCCCUGCCCUCCAGAAGCCUGCCAUCUGGUGAGGAGAGAUGCUUCAACAUGCUAACGCCCAUGAUAAAGGUUCAAGGUGUGUGAUGGCACAAGUUAUCAGAAGAAAUGCCCUGAACUAAAGUCUGGACAGAUAAAGGUGAGUGGACUGUGCUUCCCAGCUGUUGGAUUCUAAGCUUGGCUAUGUGGCUUACUUUGGCUGACGGGAUAUUAGCAGACUGUUGCAUGCAGAAUUUGAAAAGCACUUAUGUGAUUGAACUUGUGCUCUCACGUUUUGUCAUCAGAAGCAGCAGAACACGCUGAUGACUAGCCCACUGGUUCUAAUAGAUGGAACAAGGCCAGUCAGUCCUGGCCAAGUUCAGCCUAAAUCAGCAAAGCUGCCCAGCUGAGCCUAGUGGAGAUCUGCCAACCCUCAGCUGAUUCACAGAUCAAUGAUAAUAAAUUGCUGUUAUUUUAAGCCACUGAGUUUUUGGAUGUUUGUCAUAUAGCAUUUUGUGGCAAUGGCUUUUGGUGUCAGGGAUUGGUAUCUAUUGGUAUUAGGAAUUGGUAUCAGCAGUAGGAUAUAGACAGAAGAGGAGCAAAAAAAAUAAGUAGCAUUGGUUUGGGGACUGAAUGGUAGGCAACAGAAGCCUAAUAAGAGGCUGGAAAUAAAAUCUAGACCUGUGUUAUGUAGGAAUGAAAUGGUUCGUGAAUGUUUGGUAACUUGGAAUAUUCACCUAAAAAUAUUUGGAUUUGUGCUGAGAGAUCUACAGAGAAAAUGAUGGAAGGGUGAACUCAUCAUAUGUAGCUACAGAUAAUAGACGUGCAAGAAAGAAAUGAAUUCCUAAAAAAAAAAAGAAAAAGAAAUGAAUUCCUAGGUGAACCAGCCAGUUUUCAAGGAAAAUGUAGAUGAAAUAGA
This is a long non-coding RNA of Bubalus bubalis (water buffalo), 1066 nucleotides long. RefSeq lists it as uncharacterized. The transcript is spliced from 3 exons. The record is from RefSeq and is a predicted model, not a curated record. NCBI's taxonomy places the organism in Eukaryota, Metazoa, Chordata, Mammalia, Artiodactyla, Bovidae.